CUAACACUCAGGAAAGGGAUAGGAAGGAAACAGGGCUGGAGAGCAGGUUGAGCCCGACCUGACAGUCUCGAGCAGCCCAACAGGGAGGUGUGGAGCAAGGGUUGCCCACUAGAGGGGCCUGCAUUGGGUACGGGUGAUGGGGUCCACAUGGUACCUGGCAUAUAGCAGGCUGUGCAAUCCAUAUUAACUGACUGGAUAAAUUAAUGCCCAGAAAAGGUGCCCUGGAGAAUGGGUGUGUGCUGAACACAAUAGGGAAGGGCCCAGCAUCUGCCUUGGCAUAGGCAGAACUGUGCUGUGCCCUGCAACAGGCCACCUGAGAGCUGCUUUGAUCUUGUGUGUGCAUUAGACGACUGCCAGGGGCAUGAAGGGGAUGUGCUUCCAGGGCAUUUGCUGGCAGGGCGUCUCGUGAUCUCUUGGUAUUGGUGUGAGCACAGCCUGGCAGGAGAGGGCAGAUCUCCGUGCAAAGUACGUCAGAAAGCAGAUGGAAGCCAGGCCCCCUCCUGAAAGAGGCUCCUUGAAGAUAAUUCUAACAUCUUUGUCAUCAGUGUUGACAUCUCUUGAUUGUAUCCUGUCAUUCCAUUUGAGAUCUUCCUGGUUCUGGCUGGCAUCCUCUGACAUCACUCCAGCAGAAGAAAGGGAAGGAACACGCUGCAUUACUGCGUGGUGAGUGCAGUAGUCUACCUUCGCCACAUGGCCUCCAUUGAUCCCUGAAAUGGGUGAGGGGCUUCUUGUUUCUGCUGGGCAGGAGUGGACUUUUUGGAUCUGAUCUGGGGCUGUACUCAUACCUUUGUGGCUGGGAGGGUUCGAUAUUUUUCAGCACUGUAUCCAAUAUCACCUGCACAGACACCUUAGGGGAUGGGGACUUGCUGUUGCCUGGCAGGGAUGAAAGUGCCAGCUCCCUAAUUGGCCACCUCCGACAGCACCAAGGUAGACAGGAGGGAUGUUACAGCUGAGCAAGCAUGUUACACUGAGCCCCCUAGUUGGCCUUUGCUGGCAUGUGUGGAAGUGGGGAUCAAACUAUAUUUCUGUGGCGUUAACUAGAGUAAAGCAGCUCACUGUCUAAAAGUUUUCUAUCUUGCUAAGUCACAACUUUCCUGGUCCUCUGGCUUUGGUCCUUCUUUCCUCCCUCCCUUCCCAUCCCCCUUUCCUCCCUCUUUUCCUU
This 1162-nucleotide long non-coding RNA is filed under the name Pan troglodytes (chimpanzee). RNAcentral's name for it is "long non-coding RNA NONPTRT018544". Lineage: Eukaryota; Metazoa; Chordata; Mammalia; Primates; Hominidae. The record is from RNAcentral.